ACUGGGAGUUGUGGCGUGCUCCUGUAAUCCAGCUACUUGGAGGUCAGGGUUGGUGGACGGUUUGAGGGCGGGGGUCCUGCUCUCCGGCGACCUAUGUCAGCUCGGGGGAGCCCAGGCUCACCAGGUUGUCUAAGGAGGGACGUACAGGCCCAGGGUGGUGACACAGCAGGCAGAAGUCCCCGUGUUCUGCAGUAGUGGGAUCGCGCCCGUGAAUAGGCACCGGUUGGCAGCCCGUCCAAUACAAUUGAACCCAAUUCUUU
Molecule: signal recognition particle RNA, 260 nt
Filed under: Magallana gigas (Pacific oyster)
Lineage: Eukaryota; Metazoa; Mollusca; Bivalvia; Ostreida; Ostreidae
Description: Crassostrea gigas (Pacific oyster) Metazoan signal recognition particle RNA
Rfam family: Metazoan signal recognition particle RNA
About the family: The signal recognition particle (SRP) is a universally conserved ribonucleoprotein.
Source: Rfam by way of RNAcentral